Podarcis lilfordi (Lilford's wall lizard) is the source of this 215-nucleotide non-coding RNA. Lineage: Eukaryota; Metazoa; Chordata; Lepidosauria; Squamata; Lacertidae. The record is from the annotation of a GenBank genome assembly.
AAACAACACACUCCGAUUUCUGUUGUAGACUGCCUUUUCUGUGAUGUAUGUAUGAUGUUUCUGGGGGUGGUCUUGGACUCCAGGGCAGGAAAUUUAAAAUGUCUAUAUAAGGGCAGGCACACCUUUGUUCUGGGUCCUCCUCUCUCCUGCGUGUGGGGGGAGCACCCUGUUGCAACAGUUAAUAAAGAUUAGGCUUACUAGCAGCUUUGCUUCUC